AUUGAACGCUGGCGGCAGGCCUAACACAUGCAAGUCGAGCGGGGUUUUCGGACCUAGCGGCGGACGGGUGAGUAAUGCGUAGGAAGCUACCCGAUAGAGGGGGAUACCAGUUGGAAACGACUGUUAAUACCGCAUAAUGUCUACGGACCAAAGUGUGGGACCUUCGGGCCACAUGCUAUCGGAUGCGCCUACGUGGGAUUAGCUAGUUGGUGGGGUAAUGGCUCACCAAGGCGACGAUCCCUAGCUGGUUUGAGAGGAUGAUCAGCCACACUGGAACUGAGACACGGGCCAGACUCCUACGGGAGGCAGCAGUGGGGAAUAUUGGACAAUGGGCGCAAGCCUGAUCCAGCCAUGCCGCGUGUGUGAAGAAGGCCUUCGGGUUGUAAAGCACUUUCAGCGAGGAGGAAGGGUUAGUAGUUAAUAGCUGCUAAUUUUGACGUUACUCGCAGAAGAAGCACCGGCUAACUCUGUGCCAGCCGCCGCCGUAA
Molecule: ribosomal RNA, 488 nt
Filed under: uncultured bacterium
Lineage: Bacteria
Description: partial 16S ribosomal RNA
Rfam family: Bacterial small subunit ribosomal RNA
Source: RNAcentral